This 301-nucleotide ribosomal RNA is filed under the name uncultured bacterium. Its description in RNAcentral is "partial 16S ribosomal RNA". It matches the Rfam family "Bacterial small subunit ribosomal RNA", at positions 509 to 807 of the family's 1533-position model. The record is from RNAcentral.
CAGCAGCCGCGGUAAUACGUAGGGUGCAAGCGUUAAUCGGAAUUACUGGGCGUAAAGCGUGCGCAGGCGGUUAUAUAAGUCAGAUGUGAAAUCCCCGGGCUCAACCUGGGAACUGCAUUUGAGACUGUAUGGCUAGAGUGUGUCAGAGGGGGGUAGAAUUCCACGUGUAGCAGUGAAAUGCGUAGAUAUGUGGAGGAAUACCGAUGGCGAAGGCAGCCCCCUGGGAUAACACUGACGCUCAUGCGCGAAAGCGUGGGGAGCAGACAGGAUUAGAUACCCCAGUAGUCCCUGUCUCUUAUAC